RNAcentral lists this unclassified non-coding RNA (2270 nucleotides) under Venturia canescens. Its description in RNAcentral is "cGMP-dependent protein kinase, isozyme 1-like, transcript variant X2". The record is from RNAcentral. Lineage: Eukaryota; Metazoa; Arthropoda; Insecta; Hymenoptera; Ichneumonidae.
GAGAUUUGCUGCCGGGAAGGUUUUUCCUUAUCCGGAGAUAGAUAAGCGCUCGUGUAUCGGGAGUAAAGGAUUUAAUAGUAACGCGAGAGAGUCGGUGAUGGUGGCGGUUGUCAGUCGUCCGAGCGAUUGCGUAGUUGCGAGCGCAUGGCCAAACGUAGUAAGAAUUCAACGAGGGAGUUGAGAAGCCGGUUAAUUAUUCGUCGACGAUUCGAGUGAGCGAUCAGUUUCGUACGAGAAUAUGUUAAGUUGCGUGAAAAAUGUGAGUGUCUCAAGAGUUUUCACGUCGCGUUACUAUUGCGAGAGGAAAAGUUGACUCGGCGAUCGGAGUUCGCACGGUGGCAUUGAAAUUCCGUUCCAAUCUCCUCGAUAACGAAGAAUCCAAGUAAAAAAUGAAGUUUCCGUGUUGUCAGAGCAUCUACUAUCGUCGUAAAAGCAUCGAGAUCACCGGAGCCUCGAGGUCCGAAAAUUCGCAGCAAAUUUAUCGACGCUUGUCGAAUCCCCGGAGGAAAGAUGCGGUAAUCGGGGAAGGGGACGUUCCCAGCGUCCCCAAGGAGGCGCUCUCCAAUCACGAGAAAGACGAGGCCACUCGAAGUCGAAUCAAAGAUGCCAUUACCAGCAACCAGUUCUUGAGCAAUCUUCACAUCUCACAAAUCGAAGCUAUGAUCUCGGCCAUGUAUCCACAGGAAAUUCCACCGAAGACGAGGCUCAUCCGCGAAGGCGACAUCGGUCAGCAUCUUUACGUUUCGGAGGAAGGAAAAUUCGACGUUUACGAGGGUGCGGAGAAACAGGGGAGUUUUGGAGGGGGUGUCGCGUUCGGUGAGCUCGCGCUUCUGUACAACGUCAAAAGGCUGUGCUCGAUUGAGGUUGAAAACGGUGGCAAAGUUUGGGUUUUGGAUCGAAGGUCUUUUUUGGCUGGGAUGAAAAUAAUAAUAGAGGACAAAUUGUCACACAAUAUAAAGCUGCUGAGACGGAUAUCCGCGUUGAAGGAUUUGCCGGAGCACGUGCUCGCCAAAAUAUCGGAUUUGAUAUACAUCGAAUUUUUUCCAGCCAACUCUUACAUUCUCCGGCAGGGCGAGCCCGGCGAUAAAUUUUACAUAAUAAACGGCGGACAGGUCAGAAUAACUAAAACGACGGAGGAGGGUGGGGAGACGGAGCUCGCGGUGCUGGGGAAGGGGGAAUACUUUGGGGAGAAAGCUCUCUACGACGAGGAGGAAAAUCUGCGUCAAGCGAACGCGAUCGCGAUGCCACCGGCUUGCGAGUGUUUCGCAAUAGAUCGAAACUCCUUCCUCAACUAUCUCGGUAGCCUCGAGUCGAUUAAGAACAAAGAUUGGAUGGCCGAGUACGAGAUCCGAAAGCGGUCCCUGGAGCUCGAGUGGAGCAGCGACUACCCGGAGAUAAAGCUGGAGGAUUUGGUCGUCGAGAGCACCAUCGGGAAGGGCAGCUACGGGCGAGUCGAGCUCGUCACCACGAGAAAAUAUCCGGGCAAAAGUUUCGCCCGAAAAAAAAUAAAAAAAGCUAUGAUUACGUCGAUUCGCUAUCAGAAACAUAUUUAUAACGAGAAAACGAUAAUGCAGGCAUGCUACAAGUCAGAUUUUAUAUGCAAACUGUACGGGACCUUCAGGGACAGCAAAUACGUUUAUUUCGUGAUGGAAGCCUGUCUCGGUGGGGAUUUGAGAACGGCGUUGCACAGAAUCGGAAGAUUCGAUAAUCACACUGCGAAAUUCGUGUCCGCCUGCAUUCUCGAGGCACUGGACUACUUGCACUCGAAAGACAUCGUUUGCAGGGACCUCAAACCCGACAACGUUUUGAUCGAUGAAAAAGGCUACGUCAAACUGACUGAUUUCGGCUCAAGCAAGAGAAUCGGUCCGUACAAAACGACGAGUUUUGCCGGAACUCCCGAAUACAUGGCUCCGGAGAUAAUAUUGACGGAGAAUCACGACAGAGCAGCUGAUUACUGGUCGUUUGGAAUCGUGAUUCACGAACUGAUAGCGGGACGACCACCGUUUUAUGACGAGGACAAUUUGAAGCUGUACAACAAAAUAGUUAAUGGUUUGGAGGACCGAACGUUUCCUGAGUACUUUAAAAACUCGGCGGCGAAUAUCAUCCGACGAUUGCUGAAAGUCAAGCCGACCGAACGCUUGGGAUACCUUCGCGAUGGAAUCGACGGAAUUUACAAUCACAAGUAGUGGUUCAAAUCUUUCGAUUGGAAAUCCCUGAGAAAUUUGUCACGGACGUCGCCACUGAAGCCAAAGGUUAUGAAUCACUUGGAU